CAAACUGCAAAUCUUUUACAACAUUUCGUGCAAUUAUUAUAAUUUUGAAAAAAUAUAGAAUAUUAAUGUAAAACACCUUCAUGCUCAACACCCCAAAGUUAAUCAAUUUAUUUAAUUAACUUAGGGCAAUGGCUCAAUUCAAAUUAAUUGGUAAUUAGCGGAUGUUAUUACCUUGAACACUAACUUAUUAGAGUAUAUCCUAUAGCGGAAAACGAAAUAAAAAUGAUCUAAUUUAACACUAAAUAUCUUUUGACAAUUCAUCAUCUAUCCUUGAAUAUAAACACAUAGCUUACAAUUAAAAUGUAACUAUGAACAAUUAAUAACUUCUAACUAUACUAAGAAAAUGUAACCUAAUAAGUCCUUUACUUAGCAUCUCCAACUAGGGGUGAAAAGGUAGGUACAGUUAGCGGUUAUUGGCUAAAAAUGCUAACUGUAACCGCUUAAAUGGUUAGUAAAAUCCACUAACCUAAUGAGUCAUUCACUUAGCAUCUCCAGCCUAGCAAAAUACUCCAUUCUAAAAUCUGGUAAACCUAUUAAUAUGCAAAACACCGACGUGGUUCACAGUGAAAAGUAACUGCGUAAGUCCUCACUUAGUAAGUAAAUUAUCACGGAGUUAGCUAUGUAAUCAGCCUUAAGUAGCAAUUUCUAAUUUUCAUCAAUCAUGUCAAGGGUUUUAGAAAUGGCUUGUGUUGUAUCUAUUAAAGUUGUUAAAUAGGUAUAAUUUCGGUAACUAAUUUCUUAUACAUGCAAGGAGAAACAUGCAUAAUAAAUAGAUUAUAGUAUUGAUCACAGCUUUCCUCUGUAUGGCCUAUUCGAGCCCUUAACCCAUUUUCAAUAGGGUUAACGCUAUUUUAAGGGACAUGUAGCACAAUACUGAUGCUCUGUAUAUUGCUGUAUACCAUCAUUGCAAAUUACACUAUAAUAUAGACACAAAACACUAAAAGUCAUAAUCUUUGCACAUAAAAUUUUAAUCAUGCGGUUGAAACCCUAAUAUGUCACUACAACCGUAAUUAAGCAUUUUUAGGCAUGGUCGAACGUUCUUUUCUAGAGGGUCGAAUGCCCGUUCUCCUAGGACAGCAACUAUAAACCUAGGAACCUAAAUCCCCAGUUUCAUGCAACCACUUAGCUUUUACCUAAUUACAGAAGUUCUAGAACACAGACACCAUUAAUUACAUAUUAACCGAAUCCAUCCUCAUAUAUCGUUUAAAACAUUCAAAGGUGGUAACUUUUAUUUAUUACACCUAACCCAUUGUUAAAAAAUCAUGGAAUGAGUGGUUAAAAACACUAUAUUAUAGUCAUUUAACUAUUUUUCAUUCUGGAAUAUAAAGUUAUCAUUUUAAUCCUCAUGCUCUCAGGUAAGAUUCAUUUAUAUAAAGAACAAUUUAACAAAUCAUGUUUUUUAUAAAUAAACAACUAAGCAUCCUUAAGGAAGAUUUAAAUAGUAAAACAUGUAUGAAAAUCAAGAGGUCAGAUUACCGUAUGUAAAAUAACUCUUGAAAAACCAAAAUACACAACUUCUUCAAGUCACUUUAGUAUACAUCUUCGGUGUAGGGGAUGGAAUAUUGGUGGCUUCAGAGCAGUGUAUGAUGUAGGAAAUUCAGUUAAUGCUAACCUGCUGGAAAGUGUUUCAAAAGUGUUGGAAUAUUUUAUAUUUUCUAAAUUAGGUUUAUUAAUAUUUUCCUUAAUAAGUUAUUUCUCUUUAUAUUAUAAUAUUUUUAUUCUUUGUAAUUAUAUUUCCUUGUAAGGUUUAUUCUCUUCCUUAAUUAAUUUAGGUCUACUUUAGAGUUUCUUGGUCACUACUCAUUGUCUCUCUAUAAAUAGAGAGUUAUGUAAUAUUGUUUGAUACAUUGAAUAUACAGAUGUAGCCCAUACAUCUCUCUCUGCUUCCGCUCUAUUUUAUUUUUCUUUCAUAUUUUAGUAUUUUAUAUAUAUUUCAACAAAAAGGUCGGUAGAUAAUGGUUUUGGCCUCCGGCAAGAUUGGAAGAGCUGGUUAGAAUACAAAGCAAGCUGGAUUUGGUAGAAAGAACUGAAAUUGAGAAACCUAUAUAUAUGAGUAAUUUCUAAGGAAUUUAUUUGAGUAUUGAAACAUGGGAUGUUCUUAGAACGAAGCAUGUUGAAGUUAAAUGGUGAAAAUUGGUAUGGUUUUCUCUAACUAUUCUAAGACAUUCUUGUGGCUUGCAAUCAAAAACAGCUUGACUACUUGGGAGAGAUUGCAAAAUUGGCUGGGGUCAUUGAAGAGACACGUUAUGCUCUUUCUGCAGAGGGUGUAUAGAAGGAAUGGAUCAUCUCUUUUUUUAGAGUAGUUUCGAUAAGAGAAUCUGGAAUAGGUAUUAAGAAGAUGUGUGAUAGAUAAUCUCUCAAAGGCAAAAGCUUAAGAGUAAUCUUGUGUAAAUUAACUUUUGGGGCUGUAGUUGAUCACAUUUGCGCAAAUUAAUGAAAUAAGGCAUGGUAAUGUGGUGAAACUAGAGAAGCGGAUUCUCAAUUGAAUUUAUUGGGAAAUCAGGACUCGAGUAAUGGGUGCUGGGAAAUUCAAGAAAUUAACAAUAAAUAAGCAUCUGUGUUGUAGAUGGGGGGUUUCAAGAUUGAAUCCUUUGUAACUAAAGCUGUUUAUCAGAUUGUUUGAGGAAGUCUGUAAAUGUCUAUGUAGUUUGCUGUAGGAGGUGGUUUCAGAGUGUAGGAAAUCGUUUGAGUAAAUGGUAGUUGGUAGGUGUCUGAGCUGCUGUGAUGUCAAGCAGUUGGUUAUUGUAAGUAGGAAUUUCCGAAUUUGUUUGGUAGAGGUGUAGAGUUUGGUUGAGCUGCUGGUUAUUAUUGUUAGAAAUAAUGCAGAAGAAAAUAACAAUUCCUGCUUGGUUUUGUUUUUAUACAGAUAACAUGAUAAAUCUUCAAACACAAGAAAAUAACCUUCUUCUACAAAUUGCUCCACACUUAACAAUUACGCAGCCAAGUUCCAGUUAAGUCUGGAGUGUGUGUUGUAGACUGAUUGUUUGAUUAGUAAAAUAAUGCUCAUUCAUACAAUUUUUUUUUUUUUUUUUAAUUUUAUAAAAUCAAAUCAAAUCAUGAAGACAAUUCUGGGAUACAAAGAAAUUUUUCUUCCUUUUGCCAAGGUCUUUGUAUGCGCAGUGGCUUGCUCAAGCUCUGGGAAAGGACUGUCACAAAGCUAACGUUUAUCUGAUUUUGGAAAAAGAGGAAUUUGAGGUUAUUUUCUAAAAGAAGCCGAAAUAUUUCGAGCUUGCAAGUUAUACUCAGUGUGUUCCCUAUAUGGCUCUCGCCCAUUCCCUAUAUGGCUUUCGCCCUUGAUCACUCACUAAUAGAAACAAUUUCAUGUUAUGGGGUAUUUCUAGAAAAUGUUUUACUCUUUGGGUUUCUAUGUUGUUGGUUUUGUUCUCUUGUGAUGUGUUGUAGGUGCCUGAGGUUGGCCCUACCUUUUGUUUUUAUGAGGUUGUUGCUGGGUUGUAAGUUGUGUUUGUUGCUGUCCCUUUAAAUGCAGGGAGUCCAACUGAUGGAGGAUAACCAGAGACUAAAACAGCUCAGCUGUUCCCCCGGAUCCCCAAGACCAACACAUCGACAGCACGUCUCUCAAGUUGGGAUGCUACUGUUCACGGCUCAAACACUGAUAUAGAAUGCUCAGAAUCCAAUCUCCACCGUUCAUAAUGUAGAUUCAUGUGUUAUGAACGUCCCUGCAAAAUUUCAGCUCAAUCGGACCACAAAAACCCAUCGAUCGGAGUUGUUGAUGAAGACUGGACAGUCCGGGUCCGGACCUCCAGAAGCCGGGUCCGGACCCCAUUUCCAGAAACUUGAUUUUUCAAGCAGGGUCCGGACCUCAAUUCCCUGGGUCCGGACCCCAGUUCCAGAAAGUGAUGCUUGAAGGAGAUGUCCGGACCUCCAGAAGUUGGGUCCGGACAUCAGUUCCAGAGAACACGUUUUUGUUGAGAUGUCCGGACACACGAAUUGGAGGUCCGGACAUCACUAGGUUACGAAUAAGUAAUCCUAGCCAUGUCCGGACCUCAGAUCUACCUUGUCCGGACACGGCAGUCUUAUGUUGUGUAUUUUUCUAUUUAAGCUACGGGAGUUUGCCAUUGUAACUUACGUAUUUUAUUUAGAAAAAUUAGAGUGCUUUGAGAGAGAGAAUUUGUUCUAGAUUAUUGUUGAAGAGAAAAUACGUGAAGCCAAUCGGAGUUCCGGUGAAAGGAAAUCUUUUAGAAGAAUCAUGUCAGAUGUUCUGGAAAGGGCUACUGAGGUAGAAGUCAAGUGGGUCACUUGUCGUGUACAAGGGAGAGUCAAAGGUUUUGUUAUUCUUCUUGUAUUCCUUAUUCUUUUAUAUAGUGAAUUGAUUUCCUGGGUUUGGCUGCCCCGGAGAGGUUUUACAUUUAGAGAGUUCUCUAAAAGGUUUCCUCUUCGUAACCAAAAUCUUUGUGUGUGAUUGUUCAUAUUUUGGUGAAUGUUUGUUUUGAUAUUUAUCUGUUUACUGCUAAGUUAGAUCUGCUUUCUGGUUAUUUUCUGUAAAACUCAUAGACGUUUGAGUUGGUGAUAAUUGGAGUCGGUUUAGAAUUUUCAAUUGGUAUCAAAGCGGGUUCACUCUGUGAAGGAUUUAUUUCCUGAGUGUGAUCCGAGACUCCAUAUCAAAUGUCUCAUACUGUUGCUCCUAAUUCUCUUCCCGUCUUUGACGGAACAAAUUAUACGCUUUGGAAAAUUCGUAUG
Corylus avellana is the source of this 4698-nucleotide non-coding RNA. The record is from RefSeq and is a predicted model, not a curated record. Lineage: Eukaryota; Viridiplantae; Streptophyta; Magnoliopsida; Fagales; Betulaceae.